RNAcentral lists this microRNA (22 nucleotides) under Bos taurus (domestic cattle). RNAcentral describes it as "bta-miR-11993". Lineage: Eukaryota; Metazoa; Chordata; Mammalia; Artiodactyla; Bovidae. The record is from miRBase by way of RNAcentral.
GACCUGUGCGUGUACACUCAUG